GGCAGGUCGUAUGCAAAUGGCAACUAGGAGGCGGCCACUUCAGCUCCAUCUUCAUCUUCAUCACCAGCUUCAACUUCAACUGCAACUCAGACUUGAGCGCACUGCCACGUUCCGAACGAUUUUUCACGCUACCUAAACACGCGUUUGCCAUUCGUUUCGACCUUGACCAAUGCGCGGCGUGAAGCGGGCCAUUAAAAUCAAUUGAGAAAACUCGGAUGUUUUGGGAAAGUUUGUCACCCUGCCCGGGAAAAGGAGACGAGCUGCGGAUGUGGACCUCCUGGGUGGCGUGUGUCGCGACAGGCAAAUGAAGCGUCUGGGAAAAAUGCUGGGAUAACCUUCGAUUUGUCAUGCUCGAGUGACCGCUGACGUUUGGCUUAGCCGGAAAUGCCUUUCCUGGCUUCUUCGCCUACGAAAACCCUACAUCGAAUGGUCGUAAAUCUAUAGAGUUAAAUCCCUAGGGCGGCACACGCCCCCUAUAUUUUGCCGGUGGCGCGUGCUAGCCGUAUUUUACAGCAAUUCGCUGAACUCGCGUUGUACCUGUUGCCCGGUGUAACAAGUGUAAAACUAGCGUCUCAUUUGCUCCCAAAGCCGUCCGGCUGAGAAAGCCGGUGAAUGGACCACAAAUCAGGCGGAGAAGCCAGCCCUGGAGACUACGAACGAAGCUGCAAGCUGCAUCUAUCGCGUAAAUUGUGGCAGACACUUAAGAGCCGAGACAAGAUUAAAUGCUAAAUUACGUUAAGGCGGCGCAGAUAAGCCCGGCCUCAACCCUUGCCACUUGGCGAUUGUGAGGAGUGCCAGGGUCUGAGAGUCCGGGCCAAGGUGAUAAUGAUAAGGAAAUGAAAUCGCGUUAAGUUCGCCGACGUUGCGAUUGCAACGCCGACUCGCCGAAUGGGACGCGGCACUAUCUGAACGCGUAUAAAGUACGAAAACUGAUGCGUGGCAUAAAUUAACAACAUGUACCGUGGGAUAUAGCCUGCAAAUAUGUCCAACCAAGCGUGAGAAGUAUAGGAAGUGCAACAAAGAAGUGCUUUUAUAUAUUCCAUUAUAAUCUAGUCAAUAUGUUCAUUAAUAUGUGGACAUUAUGUAGUUCCCGUUUCUUCCAUUCGAAGUUAAUGCUUUAGAUAACUGCUAUCGAUUACCACCAACGGAUCUUAUGUUCUCG
Non-coding RNA from Drosophila melanogaster (fruit fly), 1162 nucleotides. The record is from Ensembl. NCBI's taxonomy places the organism in Eukaryota, Metazoa, Arthropoda, Insecta, Diptera, Drosophilidae.